GAUUAUGGCUCAGGAUGAACGCUAGCGACAGGCUAACACAUGCAAGUCGAGGGGCAUCACGGGAGUAGCAAUACAACUGGUGGCGACCGGCGCACGGGUGAGUAACGCGUAUGCAACCUACCUAUCAGAGGGGAAUAACCCGGCGAAAGUCAGACUAAUACCGCAUAAAACAGGGGCACCGCAUGGUGUAUUUGUUAAAGAAAUUCGCUGAUAGAUGGGCAUGCGUUCCAUUAGGUAGUUGGUGAGGUAACGGCUCACCAAGCCGACGAUGGAUAGGGAACUGAGAGGUUGGUCCCCCACACUGGUACUGAGACACGGACCAGACUCCUACGGGAGGCAGCAGUGAGGAAUAUUGGUCAAUGGGCGGGAGCCUGAACCAGCCAAGUCGCGUGAAGGAAGAAGGAUCUAUGGUUCGUAAACUUCUUUUGCAGGGGAAUAAAGUGCAGGACGUGUCCUGUUUUGUAUGUACCCUGAGAAUAAGGAUCGGCUAACUCCGUGCCAGCAGCAGC
This 509-nucleotide ribosomal RNA is filed under the name uncultured bacterium. RNAcentral describes it as "bacterial SSU rRNA". It matches the Rfam family "Bacterial small subunit ribosomal RNA", at positions 15 to 518 of the family's 1533-position model. The record is from RNAcentral.